Molecule: ribosomal RNA, 492 nt
Filed under: uncultured bacterium
Lineage: Bacteria
Description: partial 16S ribosomal RNA
Rfam family: Bacterial small subunit ribosomal RNA
Source: RNAcentral
AGUGAACGCUGGCGGUAGGCCUAACACAUGCAAGUCGAACGGCAGCACAGUAAGAGCUUGCUCUUACGGGUGGCGAGUGGCGGACGGGUGAGGAAUACAUCGGAAUCUACUUUUUCGUGGGGGAUAACGUAGGGAAACUUACGCUAAUACCGCAUACGACCUACGGGUGAAAGCAGGGGAUCUUCGGACCUUGCGCGAUUGAAUGAGCCGAUGUCGGAUUAGCUAGUUGGCGGGGUAAAGGCCCACCAAGGCGACGAUCCGUAGCUGGUCUGAGAGGAUGGACAGCCAGACUGGAAGUGAGACAGGGUCCAGACUCCUGCGGGAGGCCGCAGUGGGGAAUAUUGGGCAAUGGGGGAAAGCCUGAUCCAGCCAUACCGCGUGAGUGAAGAAGGCGUUCGGGUUGUAAAGCCCUUUUGUUGGGAAAGAAAAGCAGCAGGUUAAUACCCCGCGGUUCUGACGGUACCCGAAGAAUAAGCACCGGCUAACUUCGUG